GCCGUCCGGGCCCCGCCGUCCACUCCCCUCCCUUCCCCUCCCCUCCCCGCAGCCCCUCGGCGCUCGCGGCCGUCAGCGGCGCCGCCAUGGCGCUGGAAGCGGAGGCUGCCGGGGCUCCCCUCGGCUCCUUCCUCAGGGACUUCCCGUCCGCUCUGGGCCCGGGGGAGCCGCUGCCGUGGAGCUCGGCGUGGAGCGGCGCCCUGAGCGAGGCCGAGGCGCCGGGCGCGCUGGCCGAGUUGGCGGGGAACCUCCUGGGCGGCAGCAGAGGUGUUUCGCCACUCCUUGCAGCAUCUGUGAUCCACACUGCAGUUGAUGAAGUUCUCCGAACAGACUUGACUAAAUUUAAGAGGGAAAGUGUGGAAAGACAGGGAGAAGGCGAGGAGGAAAGAUUCACCUUGCUGGACGGAGAGUCGCUGCAGCGCUGCUUCUUUAACAGACUUCGGGAUGUGUGCUUUGAAUGCCAGAAGCAGUCGCCACCACUGAGACCGCUGAAGCGUUUCCUGCUUGUUUCCACCCAUGCCAUCCGUAACACUCGACGGAAAAUGGAGGACCGCCAUGUUAUCCUCAUGGAGUUCAAUCAGCUGUUUGGCUUAGCAGAUGACAUCGAUCGUGCUUACUUUGCGAUAUUUGAUGGCCAUGGUGGAGUGGAUGCUGCCAAUUAUUCAGCAACACAUUUACAUGUAAAUGUGGGGCUGCACCAGGAGAUUGUUAAGAAUCCAGCUGAGGCCUUGAAAUGCUCUUUCCAGAAGACAGAUGAAAUGUUUCUUUUCAAAGCUAAAAGAGAGAGGCUGCGGAGUGGCACAACAGGUGUAUCUGCAUUGAUUGUGGGGAACAAACUACACAUAGCAUGGCUAGGGGACUCGCAGGUAAUGCUUGUGCAGCAAGGAAAUGCUGUGACAUUAAUGGAACCUCACAAACCAGAGAGAGAAGAUGAGAGAGCACGUAUUGAGGCUCUGGGUGGAUGUGUAACCUACAUGGACUGCUGGCGGGUUAAUGGCACUUUGGCUGUUUCCAGAGCAAUUGGUGAUGUGUGUCAAAAGCCUUACAUCUCUGGUGAUGCAGAUGGAGAUUCGUUUGACCUGACUGGUUCUGAAGAUUACUUGCUUCUAGCCUGUGAUGGAUUCUUUGAUGCUGUCAAGCCACAUGAGGUUGUAGACUUAGUCCUAGAUCAUUUAAUGCAAACCAAAGGAGUGGGUCUCAAAGCAGCAGAAAGACUGGUGGCUGCUGCGAAGGAAAAUGGAUCCAAUGACAACAUUACUGUUCUAGUGGUGUUCUUGAGGGAUCCACAGGACAUCUUGGCAGACUGUCUCAGAGACACUAAGAGCCUUGAGACUGGGGAUGAUGCUCGGAGCUCACCCUUUAAUUUCCUCAGCUGUGAGGCAGCAGCCACACAGUGACAAAAUCUGCUUAAUCCAGAAGGUUUAAAAGUUUGCUUAAGGAACUGCUUUCCACUGAAGUAAGCCUCUAAUACAAUAGGCAAAAUGCAUCAGGAAAAAUGACAAAUGGACAAACAUUUAACAAAAAGGAAAGUCUCCUUUUACUGAGUUCCCAUUUGUCUUUUCUUUCUCUUUCCCUCCAUUCAAAAAACCCUGGAGAGCCAUGGAGAUUCGUACAGCUCUCUUGUCUGUGGGAGUGGAAUUCUAAAACAUGUCCCAGGACUGCUGCCAUAUCCUUCUGCCCUGGGGUGGCAAAAAGUUGAAUGUGGUCUGAUCUUUGGAGGCCUGCAACACCAAGAGUAUAGAAGGUACCAUGUCAGCUAGGAAGGUAUGAGACUAGAACAACUCGUACUUUUGGCAUUGCCCAGUACUGGCUGGUUAAGAAGAAAAUCCUGCUAUUUGCAUGCUAUUUCCUAGGAAUAAUUGAGCUUUUUUUUCAGGUAAGAGUAGCUCUUGUCCCAGAUACAGGGCUUGAGAGACUUUCUAGUCUCUGGUUUCUGCUCCUGCAGGCUGUUGGUGUUUUCACCCUUUGCACUGUGUUUAAAGGAGGCUUCUGAGUUUCUCCACUGCUUCAGUGCUCUCUGUUUCCUGCCCUAGUUGGUUUAGCAGGCAGGCUGGUAACUGCAGCAUGGCACAUGGUUAACCAACCUCUCUGUCAGAGUACCUCCUCAACAUCUGCUCUAUUAUAGCUUCACUCCUUCGCUUAUUUAGAAAUGGAACUUCUAAGUAACUACUGCUGACACACAAACGUGUCCUUAUCAGUAUUAAAAUAGUCCACAAGCAGAACUGUUGCUUUAGGCACAUUUCUUGCCACUGUGUUGGCUAAUGAACCUUGAAUGAAAGUGAAAUGGCCAGUGAAUUUGAAGUAGGAGCUGUUAAGCAAGUGUUGUAGAGCUGUAGUCUUUAUUUAUUUUGUAUAUUAAUCUGCACUUGUGACACAGAGCAGAAAAGCUGCAGCACAGCAGAUUCUAUAAGCUGUGACUUAACCAGUUUCUAGUAUCUUAAAACUCUUUAUUUAAACUGAGUGGUUCUGCACACAGGUCAGAAGCCUGUUGUCAUUGAUCAUUACAUGCUGUGCGUAUCGUGUGUUUGUUUAUACAAACUGUUCUAACAGUGCUGGUGUGUAUUAUGCUACAUUACCAUAUUUUAUAUAUAUCUGUAUGUAUGUAUGGCGUGAGGUUUAAUUGUUGGGGUUUUUUUGUAUUGUCACUUUUGUAUUCACACAGUGCCUCAUGUAUCUACUUGCAUAUGUCAAGAAAUUGCUUCAAAGCAGUGACUGGAAACAAGCGAGGAGAAGAACUCUUUGCUGUGGGAUUUGAUGUUUCUGAAGUGUUAAUAAAGCAUACUGAUUGCAA
Molecule: RNA transcript, 2791 nt
Organism: Tympanuchus pallidicinctus (lesser prairie-chicken)
Lineage: Eukaryota; Metazoa; Chordata; Aves; Galliformes; Phasianidae
Gene: PPM1F
Gene name: protein phosphatase, Mg2+/Mn2+ dependent 1F
Exons: 8
Source: RefSeq, a predicted model, not a curated record